RNAcentral lists this transfer RNA (104 nucleotides) under Xylaria arbuscula. RNAcentral describes it as "tRNA-Ser". It matches the Rfam family "tRNA". Rfam says of the family: Transfer RNA (tRNA) molecules are approximately 80 nucleotides in length. Lineage: Eukaryota; Fungi; Ascomycota; Sordariomycetes; Xylariales; Xylariaceae. The record is from RNAcentral.
GGCAUGUUGCCAGAGUGGUUAAUGGGUGAGACUUGAAUUCAAAACAUAUUAGUUUAAGCCAUCUCAUGACUUCGGUCGCGUAGGUUCAAAUCCUGCACAUGUCG